UACGGAGGGUGCAAGCAUUAAUCGGAAUUAUUGGGCGUAAAGGGCGCGUAGGUGGAUAUAUAAGUCGGAUGUGAAAUCCCGAGGCUCAACUUCGGGGCUGCAUACGAAACUGUAUAUCUUGAGGGUAGGCGGAGAAAGUGGAAUUCCACGUGUAGCGGUGAAAUGCGUAGAUAUGUGGAAGAACACCCGUGGCGAAGGCGACUUUCUAGCUUAUACCUGACACUGAGGCGCGAAAGCAAGGGGAGCAAACAGG
This 253-nucleotide ribosomal RNA is filed under the name uncultured bacterium. RNAcentral describes it as "partial 16S ribosomal RNA". It matches the Rfam family "Bacterial small subunit ribosomal RNA", at positions 524 to 776 of the family's 1533-position model. The record is from RNAcentral.